CCAGACUCCUACGGGAGGCAGCAGUGGGGAAUAUUGGGCAAUGGAGGCAACUCUGACCCAGCAACGCCGCGUGAAUGAUGAAGGUCUUCGGAUUGUAAAGUUCUUUUCUAAGGGAAGAAGAAAGUGACGGUACCUUAGGAAUAAGCCACGGCUAACUACGUGCCAGCAGCCGCGGUAAUACGUAGGUGGCAAGCGUUAUCCGGAUUUACUGGGUGUAAAGGGCGUGUAGGCGGGAAAGCAAGUCAGAUGUGAAAACCAUGGGCUCAACCUGUGGCCUGCAUUUGAAACUGUUUUUCUUGAGUACUGGAGAGGCAGACGGAAUUCCUAGUGUAGCGGUGAAAUGCGUAGAUAUUAGGAGGAACACCAGUGGCGAAGGCGGUCUGCUGGACAGCAACUGACGCUGAGGCGCGAAAGCGUGGGGGGCAAACAGGAUUAGAUACCCCCGUAC
This 448-nucleotide ribosomal RNA is filed under the name uncultured bacterium. RNAcentral's name for it is "bacterial SSU rRNA". It matches the Rfam family "Bacterial small subunit ribosomal RNA", at positions 331 to 793 of the family's 1533-position model. The record is from RNAcentral.